RNAcentral lists this ribosomal RNA (377 nucleotides) under uncultured bacterium. RNAcentral's name for it is "bacterial SSU rRNA". It matches the Rfam family "Bacterial small subunit ribosomal RNA", at positions 523 to 898 of the family's 1533-position model. The record is from RNAcentral.
AUACGUAGGGAGCAAGCGUUGUCCGGAAUUACUGGGCGUAAAGGGCGCGCAGGCGGCCAUGUAAGUCAGAUGUGAAAACCCGGGGCUCAACCCCGGUCCGGCAUUUGAAACUAAAUAACUUGAGUAUGGUAGAGGUAAGCGGAAUUCCUAGUGUAGCGGUGAAAUGCGUAGAUAUUAGGAGGAACACCAGUGGCGAAGGCGGCUUACUGGGCCAUAACUGACACUGAGGCUCGAAAGCGUGGGGAGCAAACAGGAUUAGAUACCCUGGUAGUCCACGCCGUAAACGAUGAGUGCUAGGUGUUGGGGGUUUAGAUACCCUCGGUGCUGUAGUUAACGCAAUAAGCACUCCGCCUGGGGAGUACGAUCGCAAGAUUGAA